UUCAGAUGAUGUCAGAGCCAGUCUUUAAGAUAGAACCAAAACGAUGACCUCCUGUCCUGAUCUAUUUGGUGUGCGUGUGUGUAGGUGUGUGUAUGUGUGUGAGAGAGGUGUGGGCCUUUGUCAUGUUCUAAUGUCAUCACAGUAUCACAAUAUCAAACCCCCAAAGAACGACAGAAGCACUUCAUAUUUUAAAAGAGAUUUAUUUAUGUUUUCCCUCACAAAGUUGUCAAAUUACAAAUGUCACCUGUCAAAGCAAAGGAUACUUACUAAAAUAUGGACAUAUUUAUAUUCACUAUAAAUGUAAAAACCAUGAAACGACUGCACCAAAAGAAGGAUCACCACAAACAAUGUAGCGCUGCCACAAGAUUCAGUUUGGUCUUACAGUGCUGAAGGAGGAAGAAGGUUUGGAGAGUGGCAUCUGGUUGGAGGUGGAUGGGGUGUUGUGUCUGGAGGUAUGUGUGACAGAGAUUGGAUUGGGACAGAGGCUUAGGGAAGAGGAGUGGAGAGGGAUGGGGAUGCAGGAGGGUGUGUGUGUGUGUGUGUGUGUGUGUGUGGUAGGGGGCUGCUGCCUCACCCAGAAGAUCCUCAAAUAGGACACAAGACGUCCGUUUUUUCUUGACUGACUGAUGCUCGUCAGGAGGCUGGUCUCUAUGCUUCUCCCUCCCAGACCCCCCUCCCACACCCGUCAGCCAUGCUCAUUCCAAGCCAGAUCAACAGUCACCAGCAUCUGCCGUCUGCCCCCCUCUCCCCUCUCCCCGCCACCAACACCCCUCACGGCUGGGCCAGUCAACGUGACGGCUGGAUUACAUAACCGUGAGGUUCAAGAGGCUUUGGGGAGUGUGAGGAGUUGAUCCUCACGUGUUGUCCUCCAAUGGGCUGAAAUGCCAUUCUUAAAAUGACUCAUUCCUGACUCGAGGGCCAAGUUGUGGCUCCAAGUUGUUGCAGUCAUUGCAGCACAGUUAAGUUGAGCUACCAAUGAGAUCUCCAAUGAGAGACCCGGGUUCAAUUCCGUGGUUGCUAAACGACUGCCUCAAUCCCAAAUCUUAAUCUGUUCAAUAUGAGGCGUGGGAUUUCAUUUUUUGAAACAGAUGCAGUAGAGCCCAGUGUUCUGGCCACUUCUGCCGUGGGUCUGCCCUGCCUCAGCCUCAUCUUGCUGGGCCUUCCCACCUCUUCCUCCUACUGGAGCCUGAAGCCAGCAGAGCUAGGUCCUCAACAGGAGACUCAUCACAUCCUCCUGAUGGACCUCACGCAAACAGGACCCAGAUGACGGGCUCAAGGGUGUUCAUCGGAGUCUGACUAACUUAAUAUUUCCCUCCCUGGGGACGAGUGAAGCAGGCUCAAACACCCAGCAGGGAUUCCACCAGGAUGGUGCAUUGUGGGCCUGUCUUGGAAGGGUCAGAGGGUUGUGAUCCUAACUACUUCCUGGGUUAACCAGCAGACAUGAGGCAGUAGAGCAACGUGUGUGUGUGUGUGUGUUGGGUGGAGUUGGGGGGGGGAUUGGGGUUAAAGUGCAUUCUAUCUGCUCUGUGACCUUCACACACUGAUGAUGCCGUCAAGAGAAGCAAAGGCUUUAUUUCAAAUAUAUUUGUUUUUAUUAAGAAAUAAAAAUGUUUUACGUCUUGUAAAACCUGUUUAAAUACACAUUAUUCUGCUUACAGGUUAGCCAUAGAAAUACAAAAUAAAAACUCUCAAAUUCUUUACAAAUGUUUCUCUGCGAAUUUAAAAGAUUUCUCCUAAUACAUUCUGCGAAAGGAGGGGCUGGUAUGUGCUGUGUUUGCAGGUUAGGAGAAAACAGUAUUAGCAUGGGAGACAUGAGGUUUGCCUGGGUUGGAUGAUGGACUGGGAGGGAGUUAGCCUGGGAUAGGGGAGUUAACCUUGGAUGGAGAGUGGAGUUAGCCUGGGAUAGGGGAGUUAACCUUGGAUGGAGAGUAGAGUUAGCCUGGGAUAGGGGAGUUAACCUUGGAUGGAGAGUGGAGUUAGCCUGGGAUAGGGGAAUUAACCUUGGAUGGAGAGUGGAGUUAGCCUGGGAUAGGGGAGUUAACCUUGGAUGGAGAGUGGAGUUAGCCUGGGAUAGGGGAGGUAAUGGCAUGUUAAGAGUGGUGGAUAUGGAUACUCUCAUCUGAUAUUGUGCCAUUUGUUUUUCAGGGAUAAAGUUGGAGGGCUCCUUAGCCUAGCUCUGGCCACAGCUGCACUAACUACAUAUCUAGACUGGUCAUUUUCUCUGCUUUGUGGAGAUAUGUUCAGAGUGUCUCCCAAGUCAUGUUUGUCUACCAGGCCCCUUCCAUUCUGAUAUGGUCAUGGUGGGGACCACCACUAUCCUGGUGAACCAGUGAUUGGCGCGCUUCAGUGGGUGGGUUAGAGAGUUGAUGACGCCUAUAGGGGGCGCCAGGCAGUGCUACUGCUUUGAAUGUUUUGGUUGGUUGUGAUGGCAGUACAUCACUGUCAAAGCUUUUUUAUUGGCCCCUGAAAAUUGCAUUGAUGUUUUUCCUCAAAUGUUUGCAGGUUCAAACUUUCAAAACAUUUCAAAGUUAGUACCACGUUUCCCCAAAAAAAAAUGAAACAAAUACUUCUUAUUCUAAAAAGUAUAUUGCACAUUACAGAUUGCAGCUUAAUCGAUUAAACAGUUGCAGAGGUGAACCACUGCAGACAAAUGACUCAGACACAAGAUAUUUGGAUACAAAAGGCAAAUGUGAUUGAAAAACAAUCAAAAAUAAAACAUGACAUUUGAAUUAAACUGCGUUAGAAAAAAAUGAUAGAUGUGUAUCUAUGAACGUAACUGACUACAGCUUCAGUUCCCCUGGUGAGUUUCACAUUUCAACGUAGGGCUAGCGAGUGUGUCGCUUUUGGGCAUACUUGAUGCUCAUCAUGGAAGCAUCCGGUCCCACCCCUCCCUCAAAUGAAACUUUCUGGGCUCAGGUGAAGCUGAGAGAAGGAGGAGGAAGGAGAGAAGGGAGAACAGGAGGAGGGAGAUCUUAGGGAGUGUGACAAGGCAGAAGGGGGAGGGGCCCUUCUUAAGCCCUGCGGUGUGUGAGGGUCGGGGGGGAGGGGAGGGGAGGAGCAGCAAACUGUCAGCGUUGAGAGCGGAGUCAGCAUGACGACUAAGGACUGUAUCAGGGGCAGUGUAUGGGAGAAUGUCAUGAUGUCAUAGUGAUGUCAUAAAUGUGUACAAAUGACUGGGUCUAAUGAUGUCGUAGGCCAAAAGCCACCCUCUCUGGGGCAUCUCUGAUGUUGUUAGCUAAUGGAGAAAAAAACCAUGGCUAUGACGUCAGGUGGUUCCUGCUUAAGUUUGAUGCCAUCAGAAGAUGGUGCUGGUGUUACCAGCAUGAUGUGUGUGUGUGUGUGUGUGUCUGGUCCACCCACAAAGGGAGAAGUCACAUGAGAAAACCACUAGCUAUACACCCUCAUGCCUAGCACACGCCCUACAGUAAAACACACCUCCAGUAGAACACGCCUAGAACACGAGACAUGAAAAUGAAUGCACCGCUUUGCAGAGAUCUUUAACAUCUCUCGCACAGACAAGGAUGGAGCAUACCAUGACAGGGUUGGACUGUACCACAGGAGAGAGGGGCUGGCUAACACUGUAGCCCCGCUGAGACAGAGAGGAUUCACGGGGAUGUGGUCUCUGUAGCUGGUGGAGUUACAGUCAGCGGUGGUUUACGACAAACAUCAACAACAA
This is a long non-coding RNA of Hypomesus transpacificus, 3676 nucleotides long. RefSeq lists it as uncharacterized. The record is from RefSeq and is a predicted model, not a curated record. The transcript is spliced from 2 exons. Lineage: Eukaryota; Metazoa; Chordata; Actinopteri; Osmeriformes; Osmeridae.